AGCAAAGGACCAGCAGAAACGCCACCCAUAGUUAGCAUUCGUGCAUCAUUGGCUAGGUAAUCUCCCCAAUCUAUGUCAAAUUCUUUGCUCCCGUUGCACCUACCAAAAAUUGGCAGAAACGGCAGUCAAGAACCAACACCAACGACUACUGCUAUACUAUGACAAGGAAUUUCAUUCCGAACAAAGAACCACCAACAAAAUAUUAUUCAGAUACUUACAAGGAGAGAUGAUUUGGGGCUGCAGUCAUGCUUGCCAUCGGGUGAGCUUCCUCCAUCUGAUUGGAAAGGAGAGUCGGGGAUGCACGAAGCAGGUCCUGGAUGCCCCCAAGCUGCAGCCUGUCCGCUGCCGCCAUGUUUAUUGCCUUCAGCCGCCGAGGGGAAGGAGGUUUGG
Molecule: long non-coding RNA, 390 nt
Filed under: Hordeum vulgare
Lineage: Eukaryota; Viridiplantae; Streptophyta; Magnoliopsida; Poales; Poaceae
Description: long non-coding RNA (HVUL_LNC013086)
Source: RNAcentral